GGCGUGAUGGCCAAGUGGUAAGGCGUCGGUCUCGUAAACCGGAGAUCACGGGUUCGAGCCCCGUUCAUGCCU
Molecule: non-coding RNA, 72 nt
Organism: Electrophorus electricus (electric eel)
Lineage: Eukaryota; Metazoa; Chordata; Actinopteri; Gymnotiformes; Gymnotidae
Source: the annotation of a RefSeq genome assembly